GUGCUCGAGUGGCGAACGGGUGAGUAACACGUGGGUGAUCUGCCCUGCACUUUGGGAUAAGCCUGGGAAACUGGGUCUAAUACCGGAUAGGACUACGGCCUGCAUGGGUUGUGGUGGAAAGCUUUUGCGGUGUGGGAUGGGCCCGCGGCCUAUCAGCUUGUUGGUGGGGUGAUGGCCUACCAAGGCGACGACGGGUAGCCGGCCUGAGAGGGUGUCCGGCCACACUGGGACUGAGAUACGGCCCAGACUCCUACGGGAGGCAGCAGUGGGGAAUAUUGCACAAUGGGCGCAAGCCUGAUGCAGCGACGCCGCGUGAGGGAUGACGGCCUUCGGGUUGUAAACCUCUUUCAGUGCCGACGAAGCGCGAGUGACGGUAGGCACAGAAGAAGCACCGGCCAACUACGUGCCAGCAGCCGCGGUAAUACGUAGGGUGCGAGCGUUGUCCGGAAUUACUGGGCGUAAAGAGCUCGUAGGUGGUUUGUCGCGUUGUCCGUGAAAACUCACAGCUUAACUGUGGGCGUGCGGGCGAUACGGGCAGACUGGAGUACUGCAGGGGAGACUGGAAUUCCUGGUGUAGCGGUGGAAUGCGCAGAUAUCAGGAGGAACACCGGUGGCGAAGGCGGGUCUCUGGGCAGUAACUGACGCUGAGGAGCGAAAGCGUGGGGAGCGAACAGGAUUAGAUACCCUGGUAGUCCACGCCGUAAACGGUGGGUACUAGGUGUG
Molecule: ribosomal RNA, 723 nt
Filed under: Mycobacterium sp.
Lineage: Bacteria; Bacillati; Actinomycetota; Actinomycetes; Mycobacteriales; Mycobacteriaceae
Description: bacterial SSU rRNA
Rfam family: Bacterial small subunit ribosomal RNA
Source: RNAcentral